UACGGAGGGCGCAAGCGUUUUUCGGAAUCAUUGGGCGUAAAGCGCGUGCAGGCGGCUUGGUAAGUCGAGUGUGAAAUCCCGGGGCUCAACCCCGGAACUGCACCCGAUACUGCCUCGCUAGAGUCCCGGAGAGGAUGGCGGAAUUUCCGGUGUAGAGGUGAAAUUCGUAGAUAUCGGAAGGAACACCAGCGGCGAAGGCGGCCAUCUGGACGGUGACUGACGCUCAGACGCGAAAGCGUGGGGAGCAAACAGG
This 253-nucleotide ribosomal RNA is filed under the name uncultured bacterium. RNAcentral describes it as "partial 16S ribosomal RNA". It matches the Rfam family "Bacterial small subunit ribosomal RNA", at positions 524 to 776 of the family's 1533-position model. The record is from RNAcentral.